UACGAAGGGGGCUAGCGUUGCUCGGAAUCACUGGGCGUAAAGCGCACGUAGGCGGACUCUUAAGUCGGUGGUGAAAUCCUGGAGCUCAACUCCAGAACUGCCUUCGAUACCGAGAGUCUCGAGUCCGAGAGAGGUGAGUGGAACUGCGAGUGUAGAGGUGAAAUUCGUAGAUAUUCGCAAGAACACCAGUGGCGAAGGCGGCUCACUGGCUCGGUACUGACGCUGAGGUGCGAAAGCGUGGGGAGCAAACAGG
Molecule: ribosomal RNA, 253 nt
Filed under: uncultured bacterium
Lineage: Bacteria
Description: partial 16S ribosomal RNA
Rfam family: Bacterial small subunit ribosomal RNA
Source: RNAcentral